CUGGCGUUAUACAGCCCCCAGCCAUCGCCUGGAGGGCAUCCAGUGUCUGUUAUCACUCACCUCAGGUAGUCUGUGAAGGUCCAGUCAUCACUGGCGCACGUGUAUCUUACCUGUGAUCAACACCGGCAGCCACAGACUCCUGCCCAAGGAACGAACACAGUGAUCGUGAUGACAUUGACAACAAUGAGCAAGUCCUCCUAGACCUACAGUGACCUCAAGCUGGGCCAAACAUGAUGUGGAAGAAGAAAUCAUUUGUCUCCCAUCAGUCGGGUUUGUGCCAUGGCAGCUUUCUCCAGCUGUCCGGCAGAGGUCCAGUCCAUGCCAUAGAGAAAUUCAGCCCCCAACAAGGAGAUGGCAUGCCAGAGAUGGAUCCGCAGCUUCUCCUCCAAUCAGUCAAUCCUUGCAAUCCCUUUUCUCUUUUCUCUCCUUCUGUACCACCAUGCUUACACAUAAUUGAUCCAAGGUACUUAAACUCGUUAACCUCCUCCAUUUCUUCACCAUUCAAAAUUAUUUGGCAUUCUUUUUCACAUUCAAUGGGCACUCUAUAUGGGCAUACAAAAUCUACAACCUCCCUUCUACUCUGCUCACUCGCUCUGCUCACAAACCAUCACUUUACUUUUGUUGACAUUUAUUUUCAACUUUCUCCUUUUACAUACACUAUCAAACACUGACCAAAUUUUGUAAGUCACUUUCAUUUUCUGCAAUGAGCACCGUGUCAUCAGCAAAUAAGAUUGAAUUCAUCACCCACUUCCUUCCCUCAGCAUACAUUUUUACUUCAAUUUCCCCAACUUUGCUCUUCAUUUUUCAUAACACUAUCCAUAUAAAUAUUGAACAACCAUGGUGACAUGACACACCCCUGCCUUAAGCCCACUUUCAUCUCAAAAUGUUCACUUGUUUCUCCAGUAAUUU
Long non-coding RNA from Eriocheir sinensis (Chinese mitten crab), 909 nucleotides. RefSeq lists it as uncharacterized. The transcript is spliced from 3 exons. Lineage: Eukaryota; Metazoa; Arthropoda; Malacostraca; Decapoda; Varunidae. The record is from RefSeq and is a predicted model, not a curated record.